This 83-nucleotide ribosomal RNA is filed under the name Mycolicibacterium smegmatis. RNAcentral also lists the same sequence under 1 other name. Lineage: Bacteria; Bacillati; Actinomycetota; Actinomycetes; Mycobacteriales; Mycobacteriaceae. The record is from RNAcentral.
UACGGCGGUCCAUAGCGGCAGGGAAACGCCCGGUCCCAUCCCGAACCCGGAAGCUAAGCCUGCCAGCGCCGAUGAUACUACCC